Molecule: long non-coding RNA, 1748 nt
Organism: Nerophis ophidion (straightnose pipefish)
Lineage: Eukaryota; Metazoa; Chordata; Actinopteri; Syngnathiformes; Syngnathidae
Exons: 2
Source: RefSeq, a predicted model, not a curated record
CUCAUACAUUCAAGGUCUUGACAACUCAUACCUCCAUUUGCCAAGGGGCCACAGGCUAAACAUUUCAAGCAUGAAACACAAAUAGCCUCAGGAUGAAUAGUAAAGUUCCUUAACUGAGGUCAAAGAAAAUGAUCACCAGUUUGCUUGCGGACACCAUUAGGCCUUUUCCACUGUGUUCAAACAAUCACUGUUGAACACUGAUUGUUUGAACACAGUUGGGGGCGUUCCUAAAACUUCUCUUUCAAACACACGACCGCUAUAGGAAUAUACGAAGCAAAUAGUUUAUUUUUUAUUUCUUUUGUAUUUCUUUAACAACAAACAUGACAACGGAGAGAAAGAAGAAUGAAAGGAGCUUUUGAAAUGCAAGAACUUUGGUGCGGCAUCUUUGUGCUGAAGUAUGCUGAUCAGUAGAACUAUUUCGGAGUGUUUUUACUCGGCCGCAGUCUUUAAACUCUACGCAGUUUAUUGUUGUUUAUCAUUUUUACAAACUUCAUUUCGAUACGCAAAUCUGCAACAAGUGGACAAACUCUUUUGAACACAAUUACGGAGGAGUAUGAAGCCGGACUCAAAGCGGCAACCUCAGGCGCUUAAGACUUUGACUUAAUUAGAUAAAUGUGGAAAAAAGGAGCACACGAGUAAAAGCUGAAAUGGACCAAAUGGAAUUGCCUGACCCUCAUGAAUUCAUCAUUUACUGAGAGGACGACUUUCUGACUAUUGGACAUAACGGAAAAAAGCCUGACUUUUUAGGAACAAUUCGGUACACUUUAUUUUCAAAAUCAUAUAAUUUUGUAUAUGAUUGCUUUGUAUUUCAUCGACUUACUUUUUAGCAAAAGAACUGGGACCCUAAUACUGUCUUUUUAUUUACAUGAUAUCAGUAUAGAAAUAUAGUAAACCCCUUCUCAAUACAUCAUCAGCCUGAUUUGAACUACCUGAACUACCCUGAACUGUGAAAUGCGAUGGAAACAUAAACCAAACACUUCUAUAGCAAUUUAUAGAUCCAGGAACCAGAGGUUCCAGGAAGCAAAAGUUCCUAAAAUUCUGGUGGGAAAGAGCCUAAUUAUUUUGUGAGCAUGAACAAGCUCACUACGAAUAUGAAUAUUAGAUUUGGGAAGCCACACUUUAGCGGGCCAAAUAAAACCACUCUGCGGGCCACAUUUGGCCCAUAAGCCCCACUUUGGGUACCCCUGGUGUAGACAUUCAUGCACGCAAACCAAAAUAUCUUUUCUUUUCUUCCUCACACUCACACACCCCAGCAUCUAAAAGUUGCUUACAAAAGUACAUGCCUCACAUUUCUGCAAAGAUUUGUGAAUUAUGAAUGACGACAAUGUAGAGAAGUCUGUGUCCAGCUUGUAUAUGAUGCUAAUACAAUAUUUUUCAUGAAAUUAAGCCUUGAUCUUGUUGACAUAGAAUUUACUAGAUUUUGUUAAUGGAAUCCUUUUCCAUUCCUCUAUGACGAAAUCACAGAGCUGGGGGUUGUUACACACAUUGUUCUCCUCCGCCUUCCGUUUGAGGAUGUUGAAAAUGUUCAGUUUAAGUCUGACUCAUGCUUCAUUAUCAAGGCAUUGGUGUUUAAAAUAGAUAACUCAAAUGAAGGUAAAAAAAACUAAAACUAUUUUUUUAAAUUAUAAAAAAAACUGCCCUGAGGCCCAGUUUCCAUGCUCUACUUCACUAUGUCACAGUUGGUAUUCCUGUUUGCCUCAAUAAACUUUUUUUUCCCAAAUGCCGAGAGCACUCGUGCAGCCCCACAA